Long non-coding RNA from Daphnia pulicaria, 561 nucleotides. RefSeq lists it as uncharacterized. The transcript is spliced from 2 exons. The record is from RefSeq and is a predicted model, not a curated record. Lineage: Eukaryota; Metazoa; Arthropoda; Branchiopoda; Diplostraca; Daphniidae.
GUAAUGCUUGCAUACAUUUUUACAAUUCACAAUUGCUGGACAGCCUAUAACGGUAGUUGUUGAUAUAUAACGGGUGGUCCCGCCCGUAGUUGUUGAGUUUUCUAUUCUCUACCGUGAUUUUGUGCCGGGAAACUCGGGGAAACUGAAACAGACUAGCGCUCUGAAAUUUUCGAGAAUGUCCAUUCGACGAAGAGAAAACGGUUUAUGCUGCCAUUCCUUCUUAGACAUUCCGUCUAGAUGUAUGAGUUGAAAUAUUUUCAAACUGUUCACUACAAAGCAAACUGUACUCAGCACUGAGAAAUAAGGAAGAUGAGAUGAUGAUGAAGAGAAAAGCAAGAUAAGUGUAUUGUAUAGGCUGAGAUUAUAUGAUUGAAAAGAUGUGCAGCAAUUAUUAGAAAUUAUGUAGUGUCCCAAUUUUUAACCCGUUUUGUAUUUAGCUUCGAUCGCUACCCAAUCUUCUAAAUGAUUCGCCUUCAUAAAGUUGACAAUUUUGUCGGACUUUUCAACCUGUUUGGGUGUGCAUCCACUGCAACCCUCAUUUAGGAUUCGGGGCAGCAUUCC